This 502-nucleotide ribosomal RNA is filed under the name uncultured bacterium. RNAcentral describes it as "partial 16S ribosomal RNA". It matches the Rfam family "Bacterial small subunit ribosomal RNA", at positions 29 to 507 of the family's 1533-position model. The record is from RNAcentral.
AGCGAACGCUGGCGGCGUGCCUAACACAUGCAAGUCGAACGUGAAAGGGAGCAAUCCCAAGUAAAGUGGCGUACGGGUGAGUAACACGUAGGUAAUCUACCCCAGAAUCUGGAAUAACCGGCCGAAAGGCUGGCUAAUACUGGAUAGAGCGACGGAAUCCGUAAUUGGGUUUUUCGGGAAAGGGAGCCUGUAAAAAGGCCUUCGUUCUGGGAUGAGCCUGCGUCCCAUCAGCUAGUUGGUGAGGUAAAAGCUUACCAAGGCAAUGACGAGUAGCUGGUCUGAGAGGACGAUCAGCCACACUGGAACUGAAACACGGUCCAGACUCCUACGGGAGGCAGCAGUGGGGAAUCUUGCGCAAUGGACGAAAGUCUGACGCAGCAACGCCGCGUGAGUGAAGAAGGCCGUCGGGUUGUAAAGCUCUGUCGAGUGGGACGAAAAUGCUUGGAGUUCACAGCUCCAGGAACUGACGGUACCACUAAAGGAAGCACCGGCUAACUCCGUG